This 14392-nucleotide long non-coding RNA is filed under the name Equus asinus (donkey). RNAcentral's name for it is "lncRNA (ENSEASG00005031567.1)". The record is from RNAcentral. Lineage: Eukaryota; Metazoa; Chordata; Mammalia; Perissodactyla; Equidae.
CGCUUCCUACAUACACCCAGGCACUACUAGUCUACCUUCUGGAACUUACAGUGUCAAAACAAUUUUUAAAUUUUAUUCAUAAUAUAUAGAUACAGUGCUGUAAAUGCUAGGUGUUACAGGCAUUUUUCAAACAUUAACUCCUUUAGUACUCCCCAUGGCCUUACAAAGUAGGUACGCUUAUCAUUACUGUCAACUGACAGAUGAAGAAACUGAGGUACCAACAAGGUAAGUAACUUGAUCAAUACAAAUAACCAGUAAGCGAUUGAGUUGGAGUUUGAACAUAAGAUGUCGGCUCAUAUUCUAUGCUCUUAACCAUGAUAUUUAAUCUCUAAAGACUUCACAUCAUGAAAAAAUUGGAUCAAUUUAUCCAUUUUCUUGAUAUAUCCCAUAGCCACACUAUUUUGUCUGAAUAAUACCUAUAGAGAAACUAUUGUACAUACACACCCAAAUUACUUCUGCCAGCAUCCCCACUUCCUAAAAGUUAAUACAGAGAACAUUUCAAAACAUUUCUUGUCCUGGCUGGGAGGACUCUGAGAAAAUCUCAUUGUUCAUCUAAUUAGCCAAGGGCUGGCUGGGAGUUGGGUCUCAGGGGAAAGGUGACCUCAGGAGAACCACUGAAUUACCAAAUUGCUGGGAGGAUCUCAGCAGUAACUGAAUUCAGGAUCUGGUGGUGUUUCAACCUGGGUGCCUGGUGUAACCAGGAUUUGCAUCUGCUUCAGACAAAGCAGACAGCCCUUCCUCAUGGACUCAACUUUAUCUAAAUGUGAUCAAGACAAAAGAAAUAAUGUCAUGCACCUCUGGAUGUGAGACUGUGCUGGGAGGUUCUGAAAGGCCUCACUGAGGUGAUUAUUUGCUGUAGCCAGAAUGACAAGUGUAAGCCACCCUUGCCUAUAUCUGGGAACAGUUAGCAUGUCAGGGAGAAGGUACCCCUGGUGCAGAGAUUCACAGGAAGAAGUGAGUUUGACCAGAGGAGGUCAGAAAGGUGGCAGGUGUGGCUGGAGGGAGCCUGAGAAGAGAGAGGAGGGUGAGAGGGCCAGAUCGUGGGACAUGGUGGACUGUGUUAGUUUCUGUUCCUCUAUGACAACAUUGCUCCAAAACCUUCCACCCAUAAGGAACAAACAGUUAACAUCCUGCACUUUCUGUGGGCCAGGCAUCAGGCAGAGCUUAGCUGGGUGCCUCAGCUUCAAAUUCUCUAUGAAGCAGGGGCUGCAGUCUCAACAGGGCUCAACUGGGGGAGGACUCCCACCCAAGAUCGCUGACAUGGGUGUUGUCAGGAUUCAUCUGGACUGAGAGUCUGAGUUCCUGCCUGUCUGUUGGCUGGGCACCCCCUCAGUUCUCUCCUAUGGAGCCUCUACACAGGGCAACUGAAAGCAUCGGUGCUUGCUCUCUCAGUUCCAGAGAUAAGACAGAGAGAGAGCUGCAAACAGGAGAGGAGGAGGGAACCCAAGAAUGCCUGUAAGAAGGAAGUGACAGGCUCUUCGUAAUUAAAACUUGGAAGUGACAUCCCAUCACCUUGGGGCAUUCUGUUGAUCAGAAGCCAGUUACUAACCACUUAGCUGUCACAUAAGGACGUGCACUCCAGGAGGCAGGGAGCACUGGGAGCCAUUGUGGAGGCUGCCCCACACACAGGCCGACAUGAGGCACUUGGGUCUGAUUCUAAGUAAAACAGGAGACCAUGGGAAACUUUUGCCAGUGGAUCACAAUAUAUGAAUUUCUUCUAAUUUCAACCCCUGAAAAGUGCAGACCUGAAAAUGAGGCCCAGGGGGGCAGUGACUGUCCCAAUCUUCCAUCUUCCAUCUCUAAGUUUCUGUAUCAGACACAUGUGACUCUAACCCACAGAAGUUAUAGGUAUUGUCACAUACACACCUGAUGAUGUGCCUAGGAAAUUGGUUUUAGCACCAUCUCCACUGUGCAGGUUGGGAGACUGGGGAGGCCAUGAGAGGCACAAAUGGCUUUUCCAGGACUCAGAAUUGGUAGGAAAAAAGAGGUCUGAACUCAGCUGUGUCUCCUCAAAGCUAGGGCCCUGGUCCCAUUCCCAGAGCGCUGUGGGGAGGGCAGUGAUGGAUAUUUGUGUACAAUUAUGGAGAUGACAUGGGCAAGGGCGAUGAGCAGUCAACAGCCCAGAGGAGGCUUUGGGUGGGUCUGAUUGAAGGAAGGGGCCCAGAUAAUGGAACCUUGAGAAGUGGCCUCACUUCUUUGGUGACAGACCCCAACAGAACUUAGAACUUUGGUUACCAGGCACCCACAUUCUAGACACAGCCUCACAUCCAGCUCACUUGAAUGGAGGCACUCAAGAGAACAAGAUGUUUGCAUGUUGUGUCCCAACUUUCCGAAGCUCUGGCUUCUAGAAAUCUGACGAGAGCCUUUGUAGACAUUGAUUCAACUCUCACCUCUAACACCUCUGGCCUUUUGGCAGGAGGAACCCUCAGGCAACACAGGGCAACCCAGGGCAGGCCGCUCCAGGUCAGGUCACAACUGUGCUCCCACCUGGCCAGCCCCACACCCCUUGAUGCUCAAGGUGUGUGUGUGUGUUUGGGAGGUGCACUUAGGAAAGGUGGGGAUGAGGAGGGACACAUCCCGGGUAGGAGCAGGUAGUGAGAUGUUGGAAGUCUGGCAAUGGGUCAUCUUCAUACCCCACAUCUUGGCUGGCAGGGUAGGAAGUUGAGUGCUGGGGACCGAGCUCCUUUAUCCCUAUGUGAAUCCCAAGCCCACCAGGUGUCAUCACAUUCCAGCCCUGGCUGGAGGUCUAUGCAGGUGCCCCUCUGAGCCUGAUCUGUGGUGCGGGUUCCCCCUGGUGAGGUCCAGGCAGGCCCCUGAUCCCUCCUGGUCUUUCUCCCAGGCACUGUGUUUGCAGAGCUGCACCCACAAGAUGGUCACAUAGUUAGUGAAUGGUUUCGACUAUGCCGUCUCCCUGGACAGGGGGCGGGUGCUCCAGGCCACCAACAAUGACCCGGGCCGGGCUUAGUGCAGAGGGGUCUUCACACCCAGGACCCUGAGAUGACCGAGGCAGUACCAGAAUCCAGACCCAAAUCUGAGACUCCCCUGAGAUGCUCCCAGUGUUUUCUCACUAGAGUGUCCCACAGUCCCACUCCCAAAGGAAUCACGACCUCCCCUCCUCCCCACCAGCUACAUAGGCAGAAAGAAAGUAACCUCCAUCCUCCUAGUGGUUCACGGUGAUGCCACUGAUUUUUUGUGUGUCCCUCCUCCUUCCACCCAGAGUGAAGAUGACCCCUUUGUGAAUUUAAAUGAGGCCUGCAGGUGGCGGUCCCUCCAGCAGACCUGAUGGAGACUGACAAAGUCCAUGGCACCAGCUUUCCUAGGUAGAAACAUCUCAAAUGUCACCACCUUUGUGUUCAACUACUCGGCCUUCAACACAUCCCACCAGGUCCUGGACCAGCUGUUUACUGGGUGACUGCCCACUGCCAGCUGUAAUUCUUGUAAUGUCACUGCAUCUCCCUGAGCCUCACUUUGCUCCUCUGAAAAGUGGGGUGGGAGAGGAUAAACGUCAUGGGGUUCUUGGAGGGACUAAUGGGAUCAGCCAUGGCGGGUGCUGACCUGGUGCCUGGCUCUGCAGAUGUGGCUGUGGGGUGAGCUGUGGUUGUUCAUGGUUAUUAUUGGUUCUUCCUCAUGGAAAGUAGUCUGUCUCACCCGUCUCUGGGAUGUGGUCUUUCUGAGUUUGGCAAAGCACACGGACAGCACCCUGUCAAGGAGUUUGAGAUUCCAGAGAGAUGGUCCUGGUCCUUGUGCUUGGUGGGGCCAAUUAGGGAUGUCUGGGGAGCAGAGGGGCCCCAGGCCCACUCCGACAUCUGGGAUGCUUCUGGCUGGACUUCAUUCAUUCAACCAUGUAUGUGAAGCACCUACUAUGUGCAGGAUUUUUGGAGACACUUAGCAUAACUCAGUGAAUCCAGGUGUCCAACAGAUACAAUCCCUGCGUCUCAGUUGUAGUCUGAGAGUCAAAUAGUCACAUUAGACAUCAUUCGCAAGUCCUGUCAUCCAUCGCACAUCCCAAAUGGUGCUCUCGUCACCUCCUUUACAUCUGGAGGCAUCUUCCAUUAUCAAAACCAGGAGGGCAGACCACAGGAUGCCGGAAUAAAAUGAGUGGCCUCUGGGUCCAGAAGGAGGGCGCCCUGUCUCUACAGAACAGGGUUGGGGGAAAUGGGGGACUGUGGCUGGGGCCAGGCUGGCAAAACCCUGCAUCUCACACAUGUUUUGAUUCUCACUGGAAGGCUGAGGUCUGAUGGCUUCCAUUCCAGGAGGUCAGGAUUCAAAGACCUGUAGAUGGGUCCCAGGACCCCUGGGAACCAGAGUGGAGGCUGGGCUGGGCUGUCCCCUAGAGACCCAUCCCCACCAUAGUCCUAUCUUGAUCUGCCUCCCCUUCUCCACAUCCACUUCUUCGGACCACCCCCAGCAGGCCCAGAACAGGAGGUGUGUGAGCAACAUGGUCACACGUCUGCCUCAGUCCUCAGUCCAGUUGCAUAAAUGCAUGGAGGGCUGGGGUGGGCUUUGUCCAAGCCCUUCAGGAAGAGAGUGUCAGUGGGAAGAACAGACUCACACUGACUCUGUGUUCAACUUGCUGGUUGAGCAGUCCUGCCACCACCAGGACAGCCACACAGGGGCGGGACUGGGCCGGGGCUCUCCUCUGGAUGGGAAUGGGCGGGCACAGGGGCCCAGACCAAAUAAGGGCGCCUUCAGUGGGCAGUGUGGAGGGAAAGACCAGGCCUCUGACUCUGUUGCCCAAUGCCUUCCCCCAUUGCCGUCUCUUCGCAGAUGAAGCUGGCCCGUGUGCACGUGAGCUCGCCUACCUCAGAGCAGGAGGGCCACGCCUCCCUCCUCCCAGUCCAGCUGGAGUCCUCCAGAGCCCGUGGAGGCAGAGCUGGAAGGUGAGGGCCCUGCAGUGUGGGAAGACGAUUUGCAGGGGGUUCACGGGCUGGGUUCCCUUAAGGCAUUGGGGUCCUUCCUGUCUUUGGAAAGACUCAGGGGAGGUCAUCUACUUGAUGAUACUUUUUCUUUAUGCUGCUCCAGGACCAUCUCCAGAGCUCCCACCAGCUCCAGAGCCAGAGCAAGGGCCAGCUCCAUGGCCUGGGCCAACUCCAAUUCUAGUUCUACCACCUGUGCUAGAGCUGGAGCAAGUGUCACCUCCAUCAGUCCCCCCAGGGCCAGAGCCAUGCCAACAACAGCUCCAGCCCCAGUGCCAGAUCCAGCUGGAGCCCGCUGGACCCUUGUCUCCAGGGAGAACACUUCCUCCAUCUGGAGAGAUUACAUCAGAGCCCAUCCAGCCCAAGAGCCCACCUGCCCCCGGGCUGUGACCACCAAGAGCCUGCUGUGGGAGGAGAAGCCUGACUUCCUGGAGUUCCGUCCCCAGCUGAUUGCAGAGCAAUUUACACUGAUGGAUGCGGUGAGCAGCAGGGCUCUCAGGGCAGGUGGGGCGGGCCUUCCCUGUGCCAUCAGAGGCCCAAGACCUGCUGUUUCCUGAUCCAGAAUCCCAUGUCCUACAUUCAAUCCCAGCUUUCCCACUUACACACAUGUGCCCUGGGCAACCUCUUAACUCCCAAGCCUGUGCUGUCCGCAUGUGGACACUAGACAUGGACAAAAGAGCAUCUGCCAGGCAUAGCGGCUGUGCAGACGAAUGAGGCGGAACAGAGAGGAAGGUGGGCAGAGUCUGGCCCUUUGGCGGGGGAAGGGGAGGUCACUGAAGGGCUGUCAGGUCCUUGGGUGGGUCAUCCAUUUGCACAGGAGGCAUCAACAGCCUUAGCAAUUAUUAGGGACCUCAUAUGUAAUGACUACCUGGGAGACAAACAUACAAAGAUUGUGAUUGUUACUCCUUGGGAGGACUGCACAUCUGAAUGAGGAGUCGGGCCCCAGGGUGAUCAGAAAAGGUAGACGAUGCCCCUUGCGUUCGUCAAGUAUCAGCGGGGUUCUGGUGCCUGGAGUAGUGAGACUGGGCUGGGAGCGAAUGCCACUUUCCUUCCCCGCACUAUUGGUCCUGGGUCAUCCUGUGCUGGGUGCCCUCAGUGGGCACAGACAAAACCCAGGGACCCCCACAAGCCCCAGGCCACAUCCUCAGCUUCCUGAGCUCCAGCUCUGACCACUGACUCUGCCUGGGACUGUGGACUGUGGACAUGGAGCAGGCAUGUGACAGGGCUGGGUGACACUCUCUUCCUCCCCAGGAGCUGUUCAAGAAAGUGAUCCCCCCCACUGUCUGGACUCCGUCUGGUCCCCAUGGGACAGCAGGGGCAAUGAGCACCUGGCAUGCACCAUCCGUGCCACCAUCACCCAGUUUAUCACAGUGGUCAACUGUGUUGUCACCACCUGCCUGGGGGACCUGAGCAUGACAGCCCAGGACAGGGCCAGGGUGGUGGAGCUCUGGAUCCAGGUGUCCAAGGUACCUUCUGGGCGGCCCAGGGAGCCCCUCUCUGGAGUCAUGGAAACUGCCCCUUCUCCUUCCUCAGCUCUCAGGAUUGAAGUCUGUGCUCUGAGCCCUUGCACAGUCCCCAGGCCCCUCCUGCCGGGGCCUCACUGACCUUGACUCCUGUUCCCAGCGUGGGAAGCUCACUUCUUCCUGGGCUCCCUCCUUGGGUUGAGCUCAAAUUCUCCAACCUGGGAAUGCUACUCAUCAGGUCCCAGGGGUGCCCUCACUGGGUUCCUCAGCAUGCGUCUCAUCCAAGACAGGAGAUGUCCAUGAGGGAACAGAAGCCAGAGGCAGCAGGGCUCCAGCUCUCCUCACCAGCUCACUCUCUUCCCUGCCCCAGGAGUGCCAAGGCCUGAGGAACUUUGCUUCACUGCAUGCCAUCCUCUCUGCUCUGCAGAGCUGCACGAUCCAUCGGCUCAAAAAGACAUGGGGACACGUUUCCAGCAACAGAACUCUCCGUCCGGCUGAAACCACGACUGUUGAAAACACAUCUGCUGAGGAGUUACAGGAAUGGAGGCCCAGGUUUUCAUUCCUUUUCCCCCCUCGGGAAGAGCUCUCAAAAAUUUUACAAAAUUGUGCACCAAGGACCAGCGGGUGAGCAGGAAGCUGCUCAUGGAGGAAGCCAGGCCCCUGCUGCUCCUUCUGUCUUUGCUGCACGUCCAAGGACAGGGCACCCUGCCAGCCCCUGAGGUGGGCACUGCGUGGUCCCAUGGGCCAGGUGGACAUGAGGGCUGCCCAGCAUGGGAUGAAUGGUGGACCUGGGACAGAACUGUGUGCUCUCUGGGACUCCCCACUGUGCCCUGAUAGUGGUCACUGCUGACAUACCCAGUGGGGUUCUCACCUGCUGCCUUGUUGGCAGGGCACAUGCCCCAGAUGGCAAUGAGAGUAUCAGGGGAUCCAAUAGAUUCUUCGUGGACCUUCCUGACUGGAUGUUAGAAGUUUCCAAGAACAAAAAGGAAGCAAAUGUCACCAUCAACCAGUGCCCUGGUCACCCCGUAACUGUCACUCAGAUGUGGCACUAGGGGUCACCUUCCUGAGUGGAUGAAAAGAGAGUUGUGUUCAGGGGAACGUCCUGAGGGAUCCUAGGGAGCUGAGGCCUUUGGCAUCGCCUCAGGUAUAGCCUGGGGUCAGAGAAUCCCAGGGGGCUGGGACAGGUAGAUGCCACUUGGACAGGCCCUCUGAGACACCCUGCCCCUUGUCAUCCAUGGCUCAGCCUGGCUGAGGGUCUGCUCACACCCUGAGAGUCCAGAGGACAUGACCAUGUUCAGAGGUGUGUCUGUAGGUGGGGUGAAGGCAGAUGGACAGGGCCUCUGGCUGGGAGGGGAAGGGGUCUCUCCUCUGUGGGCCUCUGAGCAAGUCAAGCCCCUCUGUGAGCCUCGGUCUCCCCAUGUGGGACGUGGAGGGAGGUGAUCUGUGGUUCAAGCCCCACAAACGGGGGAUGAGGUUCAAGGGAGGAGAGGAAUGUGCAGGAGCUGUGUGCCGCCUCCUCCUCGAGGGGUGAGGGGAGAGCAGUGAUGACAGUCAGAUGACACUGAGUCCUCAGGAGGCCCUGGGAGGCAGGUGGAGUUCUCCUCACCCUUUCCAGAUGAGGAGAGAGGCUGAGGGGCCUGGGCAGGCCCAAGGCCACAGAGGAGCAAGUGUUGGAGCUGGGACUGAUCGAGAAUCAGAGCAUCUGGAAAACGGAGCAGCCACACACACGAGAUGUCCAGGGUCCAAGAUCAAGGGCCUGGGACACAUGCGGAAGGGAGCAUGGCCUCCCUGACCUUGUCCUUGACGCUGCAGGAAGCGACCUCUCUGUGGGAGACCCUGGAGAUGGAUCCCUGGAUAGCCCAGGAGAGGCAGCAGUGGCAGGUGAGGGUGCCUGUGGUGGGGAGGAGGGGUCCAUGUGUUCGAGGAGAGGGUGCUCCACCCUCACAGCUGGAGGCCUCCACCAAGAGAGGGGUCCCUCCUCCUCCAGCCCAGCUCCUGGCCAUGCAGAGCCUGAACCGGCUGCAUUAGAAGUGAGCAGGAGGAGGCCUGGCAGGGCUGGCCCAGGAGGGACUUGGGGUGGGGAGGAGCAGGGACCACAUUCCCUGGGAUCUGCAUAAAGCCAAGCCUGGGAGGUGACAGGGGAGAUUGGUGUUCCUGGAGGGGGCUCCUGGGGGAGACUGCUGAGGGUCCUGGGCUGCUCUAUGUGGGAGUCCGGGGUGGGCAGGAGGCUGGGGUGAGGGUUUUGGGGGGAGGGUCCCAUGGGGGCACAUGAAAGCCGGGACUCAUCACCAUUCCCACCCUGAUGGCUCAGGGUGUCGUCCCCUUCCUGGGCUCACUCCUCGAUUACCUGCAGCUGCUGGACACUGAGAUGGAGGAUUAUCUGAAGGAGUGUGAGCAUGGAGAGGGGAACAGGGAAGAGGAUCCAGAGGUUUGGGAGGCGAGAGCCCUGCACUGGGCCCUGAGCUCUCAGCACUUGGCAAAGCUCCUCUCCUGAGAACCUCCUGGCAGCCCCUGGAGCUGGGGCCUCAGGCACAUCUUAGCAAUGUGAGACCCAAGGCUCUGCAUAAGCCCCCCUCCAGGCUCCCUGGGCUGGGGGAGCUCAGAGCUGCCUCACUACAGAGCUGCGGGAGGUGGUGUCAGAGCUGGACUCAGCCUCUCCCUCAAGCCCUGCCCCUGGGGGAGUGAAGUCAGCCCCUGCAAGUCAGGAAGCACAUCCGUGGUCCAGCUGUCCCUUCCUUUCUGAGGGCUCAGUCUCCCUGUCUGUCAUCAGAGAGGUUGGAGCUACAGAGUCUGUGGCCUCAGUGACCCUGCCCCCCCUGCGCUGGAGCCCAGAGCCUGGCCCAGGUUCAGGCUCUCCUUGAGGCAGUGUCUGCCCUCUGCUGGGUCCUGGCAGUCCUGCAACUUGGGAAGGGGUGGGCUGGGGGCUAGUCAUGGGCCAAGGGGGCUGUUUCUGAUGGACAUUGGCUGUCUGCCUUCGAGGGAAAUAUGGUGAACUUCCAGAAAUGGAGUGAGGUGAGCAGCCGUGCCCUCGAUGUGGGGAGGGUGGGGCUGUGGAAAUCAGAGACCUCCCCUGCAAGACUUUCUCUGGCCUCAUCCCUUGGGUCUUAUCUUUAUUGCGAGAGUUAGAUACAGGCAGCUGGGGAUCCCAUCACAUUGGUGGGUGGGAGGAGGGGCUGACAUCGAGGACACCUUCCUGGAUGAGGAACUAUUUCAACCCUACUGUGAGAACAGGCAAGUCCUGAAUGGAGUGGGAGGGAAGGAGGGUUCCCAAUGAGCAAAGACCCCAGAGCAGCUCCUCACUACCCACAAGUUCCUGGCUGGGUUCCCCCCAGGCCCUGUCUGCAUCCUGUCCUUCCUCCCAGAAAUUCCAGGUCAUUAAAAGGAUCCAGCUGCUCCAGGAGGCUGCCAAUGAAUGCCACCUGCAGCCCGAGGAGCACUUUGGGGCCUGGUUCCAGGCCAUGGAGCCCCUCCAUGAGGAAGAGAGCUACAGCCUGUCCUGCCAGCUGGAGCCCCCAAACAUGAAGGUGAGCAAAAUGCGAGGCUUCUUCAGGACCAAGAAGAACCGGCCAUCCUCAAGAUUGGGGCUGACUGCCAUGCCCUUGGCAAGGAGCCAUCACACUCUAGAUGCCACCACAAGCUCAGCCUCUUCAGGCGCAGGGACAUGGCUGGGACCCUCGUGGUGCACCAGGCCAGCUCUUCCCACCCGGAUGUGAAGGAGGACAUUCCUGGGAGUUGUGGUGUGGUUCAACUCCUGUGCUCAUAUAAAUGAGACACAGAACUUCACCUUCCUCCUUGAAUUAAGAACUGGUGCACGGUCACAGCUCAUUGUAUGUGGGACAAGGGAGGAAGGCCAGCCCCCUCCCUGGCAAGUUAAGGACCACCCAAGUCUCCCUUCCUUAGAGGACAGGUUCGUUUCAGUGUGGUUCCCCUGGGCCAGGAGUGGAGACAGCCCCUCAGAUCCCCCUGGAUUUAGAGGCCGGAGGGACUUUCCCAGCAGAGCAACCAGCACAGAAAUGUGGGUCUUUCAGAUGGCACUUGCCAGGACCAUGUCCUGCCCCGGGACAGUGGCUGCCUUUCUACAGCUUUUGAAGAAGGAAUGUUUUCUGCUUCUCUUGUGGAGCUUUCUUUUGAUCAAGUUUUGGAACGUGUAGUUUUCUAAUGAAUCUCUGGAAUUGCACUAACAGUAAAUGGGGAAAAAAUGUAAACAGAUAACUCUUUGCAUGUGGAAAGGACAAGGCCAGAGGAAGACCAUUUGCAGACGGACUAAGGGCAGGCAGGACAUCCCUCUGCAGGCCGCCUCUAGGGGCUCCCUGUUCACCCUUUACCUGGAUUGGACUCCUCCCGGGAUCCUGGUCCAUGAACUUGCAGGUCCUUUUCCUGCUUGUUUCCUAUCCAGAGGGAAAGAUUUGUGAUGCAGCUUUUAAAGCUACAACAGGGCUUUGUUGCAUAAGCGUCACUGCUCCCUGUGAACUAGAUUUCCAGCAUCCCUGCACUUCCUUCUACAAUUCUUUUUGGGCAGAAAUUCCCUAAGGCCCCAGCCUCUCUGUCAGGAACAUCGUGGCCAUUCCUACCUAGCCAGGCCUGAUGGAUCAGCCGUGAGCUCUGGUUUGCCCAGGAUAACGGACCUUAAUCCUGGGCAGUGCAUGACCCACACUCUCCCUUGCUGCCCAGGGUCCCAUGUGGUUCUGAGGUUCAUGCUCUCGGACAAACAAUAGUUUACACGCUCAGUCUUAUUGUUACCAGCUUGACCUAAAGGGUCAUCUGGGCUCAAUCCUAUAGAGCUUCUAGCCCCCAGGAUGGCUGUGUUCUUUUCCCCAGUCUUGUGCUGUGGUUAUGUGGUUAUGUGUUAUGGGGAUGUGAAACUUUCCUGUUGGGAGUUUUGAAAGAUAAGGCAUGAGAGGUGCCAGUAUAGAGAUGGGUCUAGCAGGGGAAUGCCACCAAACUGAUGAACAUGGGCCUACACACAACAACCUUACCAAUUCAAAUACUGAAACGCUUCCCAUCUGGGUAGUGAAGAUAUGAGCUCACCCUGAGAACCCGCCUCAUGACCAGGAGCUACAGGGUUAUCACCUGGCAUUUUGAACGUCAUCCCCUGAAACACUGUAAGACAAGGGCCACAUGAAUUCCUUGGUAGUUCUUCCUCCUCCUCGCUGAAGGCUGCAAGUGUCACCCUGGGAGGCCCUUUCAGUUCAGCCACAAGCCGAGUAUAAAUCCCGCUUCCGGCAGCCCAGGCCCUUCCUGACAGGGCACAGCCAUCCAGGAAAGAAAUAAUUCACAUAUUGGUGUAGACACAUAAACACACACACGCAUAUCCCACCCAAAGCCCAAGAUGCAUGAACUUCAGAGAUGAAAAGUGACUUCAGAAACAGAUCAACCAAUUGCAAACGAAGGGUUUCAUUAAGAUCCUGACUCAAAUAAAAUGUAAAACCAAGAAACAACCUGGAGAAAACUGGGAGACUUUGGAGGCUGACUAGGUAGUUGAUUAUAGGAGUGACAUUUUUACUUUUGUGUGUGAUAACUUUGUUGUGUUUGAGUCCCAAAAAUCUCUCAUCUGUAAGAGAAACUGAUAUAUUUACACCUGAAAUGAUGUGCUCUCGGCAUCUACAGCUGGCUAAUUCCAGGGGGUGGGUGUAAAGAUAAAGCCAGAUGGUUUAUGAGUUGACAAUCUCUGAUGCAAGUGACAGGUUCACAGAGGUUGAUUUUCCCUACUCUGAGAUUUGGAGAUUUUUGAAAACUUUCAGAAGACAAGUUUCAUAAAAAUAGUAUAAUCACUGUUCACAUUACAAUGUUAAAAAUGAAAACAUUGCAAAUAUGAAGAAAUGCUUCUUCUUCCCGACCUGGGGAAGCUCUGUCUGUCUGGCUUCUGUGAAUGACCUGAUGAUGCCACUGAUUAUUCAUUUAUCUCAUGUUUAUUGAAUAAGUACUAUGUGCUCUGUACUGCGAGCAAGGUGAAUGCAUUUCCACAUCUCCAGAUCUAGUGUGGGAAUGAAGGCACUGAGCCGGCUGCCAAGAUUCUCUACGUGGAAAAUAAUGCCCCACGGGGCAUGGUCAUUGUUAAGAUUCCAAAAUCAAAGCUAGACAAGUUUGCCAUGGAACAAAUCAGAGGUACUUAAUUUAUGAUAUAGAAAUUACCUAUGUCUGAAUUAACAUGUGACAAAGGCUGAAGGAUUUUGUUAAAAUUAGAUGCAAAAUCAUAAUUUAUGAAAUCAGAUUUCAUAUCACAUUAAGAGAUAAAUCUCAUUGAGUAGGUAUUAUCUGUUCAUUGAGUGUAGAAAAAACAAAUGUAAGUUCAAAACACUAAUUCCUCAGCCUCAAUUAUCCUAUUGAUUUUAAUAUAAACAGGAAGAAAAAUCAUGGUAAAUAAAAAUCGAGGUUACCCAUGAAAGGUAAGGAUCAUGAUGGAUGUUACAAAGAGAUGCUGUGGGGGUCAAGGCUGUCUCCUGGUGGAUUUCUCACUGCACCACUCUCCUUUCCUUCAGCACCAAUAUCGCUUUCCUCACGGUGUUUUCAGGUGCCUUUCUUGGCUCUUGCUCUCUCUGCCUCCCUGGCAAACUCCUCUGUUCUCAAGCCAACAGUCAGUCUUUCCCAUGCUUUUCUUCACUUGCAACAUCUGUCUCCUAAUAUCUCCAGAAGUUGCCUGUUGCCUGUUGCCUGCAGAGGGGCUGGGAGAGACCCAGACCCGUUCCUGGACUCAUCUCUGCCCAAUACGGACACUGGUCAGGAGUGGGCUAGGGUUGGUGUGCAGAUCCCUCAGCUCAAGCCAUGGCCCAGGGAUUCACCUAGACCACCUGGUGCAAUUAUCUUUAAGAUAUUUGUGAAUCAGAAGGACUUAAAAGUUCUCCUUCGCUGCUGCCAGCCUUGAGGCCCUGCAGUCUCUCCUCUCCACAGACUCACCGGGGCUUCUCCAAGGUCUCCUCCCACUGACGGCCCCUGACCUCACGGCCAGGAUGGGAAGUUAUCCGACUACCUGGCCUCUGGAAUAUGCAGCUGCUCAGCCUUCAGUGUGUACAGAGCUGCAGGUUUCUGCUUGGUUUUAGUUUUGUUGUCUCAUUGUUUCCACCAUGAAAUUGGGGCAUAUUUUUUGAACUUUCUCUUUAAAAAUAAAAUGUGAAAUUUGAACAAAAUGGGGGAUGAAGACUACCAUCCAUGGAGAAUGUUCUCAGCUCAUUUGGCUAUUCCACCCUCCUUCCCUCCCUGGAGAAUGUGUCUCAAAUGUGAAUCACAACCAUCUGGAGGGUUUUUAAAACUCAGAUUGCUGGACCUCAACUCAAGUCAAUCUGGGGUGGGAAUGGAGAAUGUUCAUUUCUAAGAUGUUCCCAGGUGACAUUGAUGCUGCUAGUAUAGGUACCACAUGUUGAGAAUGGGAUUCUGGGACAUCAUCAAGCCCAUGUGAGACAAGGACAGAAAGUUCAAGGUCAUUAUCCAAUGUCAAAUCCAGACAAACCUCCCUCCUCCAUCUUGCUUCAGGAUGUUACUCUCUCCCCUUCUCCGUCAUUGUCAACUACACACAUUCUGGUACCAAGUAACCCACUAUCAUUAGGACUCAGUGAUCCAAGGGCCCCGUAGCUCCUUUUAGAGUGCCAUCUCUAAUGAAAUCACGCACUAUUCCACCCUUAGACACCCUCACUCCACAGCAAAAUCCUGUCUUAACCCCAAAUUCUCCUGCUCACAAAUCAGGAACUCAAACAGCACAUUCCUACCACAAAUUUCCACAGUUCCUGUUUUUACACAAAGAACCCUAAUGUAAAUAACCAACCUUCAAGAAAACAGUUUACUCCAGUAUGAAUAUCUUCACAAGGCUCUCUUCUUUCUCUCUUCCUAUUCCUUUCUUUCAAUCUUGGUUUCUGUGGUCCAUCAUUUCAAUCAUCCACUGACCAUGCUCCCAGAUUCAUCACUCCCAUCACAUUGGCCCUGUAAGCCUCUGACUUUGGAUAAUUUCAAAUACCUGCCAUGCCACGUUGACACCUGCACUGAGGAUCACCAGCGAAGAGAGAGCACACGAGGAGUCUGUGG